This 620-nucleotide ribosomal RNA is filed under the name uncultured bacterium. RNAcentral describes it as "bacterial SSU rRNA". It matches the Rfam family "Bacterial small subunit ribosomal RNA", at positions 202 to 842 of the family's 1533-position model. The record is from RNAcentral.
AAAAACCCAGGUGGUGUGAGAUGGAUCCGCGUCUGAUUAGCCAGUUGGCGGGGUAACGGCCCACCAAAGCGACGAUCAGUAGCCGACCUGAGAGGGUGACCGGCCACAUUGGGACUGAGACACGGCCCAAACUCCUACGGGAGGCAGCAGUGGGGAAUAUUGCACAAUGGGCGCAAGCCUGAUGCAGCGACGCCGCGUGAGUGAAGAAGUAUCUCGGUAUGUAAAGCUCUAUCAGCAGGGAAGAAAAUGACGGUACCUGACUAAGAAGCCCCGGCUAACUACGUGCCAGCAGCCGCGGUAAUACGUAGGGGGCAAGCGUUAUCCGGAUUUACUGGGUGUAAAGGGAGCGUAGACGGCGACGCAAGUCUGGAGUGAAAGCCCGGGGCCCAACCCCGGGACUGCUUUGGAAACUGUGCUGCUGGAGUGCAGGAGAGGUAAGUGGAAUUCCUAGUGUAGCGGUGAAAUGCGUAGAUAUUAGGAGGAACACCAGUGGCGAAGGCGGCUUACUGGACUGUAACUGACGUUGAGGCUCGAAAGCGUGGGGAAGAAACAGGAUUAGAUACCCUGGUAGUCCACGCCGUAAACGAUGAAUGCUAGGUGUCGGGGGGCAAAGCCCUUCG